This 311-nucleotide ribosomal RNA is filed under the name Haemophilus influenzae PittAA. Its description in RNAcentral is "bacterial LSU rRNA". It matches the Rfam family "Bacterial large subunit ribosomal RNA", at positions 2614 to 2925 of the family's 2925-position model. Lineage: Bacteria; Pseudomonadati; Pseudomonadota; Gammaproteobacteria; Pasteurellales; Pasteurellaceae. The record is from RNAcentral.
GAACGUCGUGAGACAGUUCGGUUCCUAUCUGCGUGGGGCGUAGGAGAAUUGGUUGGGGCUGCUCCUAGUACGAGAGGACCGGAGUGGACGCACCACUGGUGUUCCGGUUGUGUCGCCAGACGCAUUGCCGGGUAGCUAAGUGCGGAAGAGAUAAGUGCUGAAAGCAUCUAAGCACGAAACUUGCCAAGAGAUGAGUUCUCCCAAUCUAAGAGAUAGUAAGGGUUGUUGUAGACUACGACGUAGAUAGGUCUGGUGUGUAAGUGUAGUGAUACAUUGAGCUAACAGAUACUAAUUGCCCGAGAGGCUUAACU